This 1314-nucleotide long non-coding RNA is filed under the name Helianthus annuus (common sunflower). Lineage: Eukaryota; Viridiplantae; Streptophyta; Magnoliopsida; Asterales; Asteraceae. The record is from RNAcentral.
UUAAAUCCUACUUUAAUUCAUGUUCAAUUUAUACAUAUAGGGAGAGAAUCGGAAAUAAAUUGCCAGAAAGAGAACAAUGGAAAGGACUAGGUUCCUAGCCAAGCCAGGGAAUCUACGACCGAUUGUCAAAAAAUCUCUCGCUACGGGGUAAGAAGCAAGGAAGGAGUGCCACUUUCAAGAAUUCUUUUUUAGUUCAAUCACCCGCCGAAGCGAUUUCCUAUCGGUCUUGACCUUCUCAGAGACUUGCCAAGAUAGCGAUCUGCUCUUAUAUUAUAGAUAUUAUAAGACGAUAUUAGAAAAAAGAACCCCUCUCUCUUUCCUUUAUGUGCGCUCUCUCUUCAGUCAUGUGCUUAAAUAAUUAGGAGACGAAGGGAUUUGCAACUUUGGUGAUGCUUUGUUUUUAUGGAAGAUGAUGAAGAAGGUGGAAGGAUUGCGGAUUUGGUGCGGCGUCGGUUUACAUAAUCGAAGCUUUCUCUACACGUAAAUUUCAUGAUCAUUCAGUUUUCUUUUUCCAAUUUUGUAUUAUUCUCUUUGAUCCCGAUGAUUGUGUUUAGUCAGUGAUGUUAAUCUCUGCUUCACCGAUUGAUUGUACUGUUGUAUGUUAAUCACAAUUCAAGGUUGAUGGGAUACUGGAUUCGUUUCUGCACAACACAUUGAGACUGGUCAAAAGAGUUAAAUUGGGGAAGAACUUUUAGCAUCUACCCAUCAAAGACCAUUGUUACUAUAUACAUUUGAAUGUUAUUAUAUAUUUUGUUAGAAAAUUUUGGAUUUACACUAUCUAUAUAUCUAUACUUGUGCUCCAAAUACACAUAAAACAAAACUUUUCAAAUGUUCUGGUGCAAUUCUACCACUUAUGACAGAAUUUCAGAUUGAUGCGGAUCAACGUGACAACCAAAUCAUUGUUGGCAAACCAUCUGGCUGAAUCAAUGACAUGAUCCAUGAUAAUAAGAGCUUUUCAUCAAGAGGAACGAUUAUUUGCCAAAAAUCGUGACAUAUUUUGGCUUCGAUGAUUCUAAAAGGCGUUGGCAGCAUUUUAUUUGUAUGUGGCAGCACCACCAGUGCCUAUUUGCUGAUGCCAUUUAAUAAAUUCCAAUACGCUGUCUGCUGGAACUUAUUCCGAUUAAAUUAGUGUUUACGAAGCGGCACACAAAAUGCUAAUUCAUAUGUGUAGCAUUGAAGUUUGAUCAAAUCUUAAUCUUCAUCUGCAGAUAUAUUACUUGCUACUUAUGAGUCCAUUGCUACGUGACUUCUAUGACUAUGACAUGAAUGAUCCAAAGUUUCAUCCUUGUUUUUAAGAUUUCGUGCAAGUUGCUU